This 253-nucleotide ribosomal RNA is filed under the name uncultured bacterium. RNAcentral's name for it is "partial 16S ribosomal RNA". It matches the Rfam family "Bacterial small subunit ribosomal RNA", at positions 524 to 776 of the family's 1533-position model. The record is from RNAcentral.
UACGUAGGGACCUAGCGUUGUCCGGAAUCAUUGGGCGUAAAGCGCGCGUAGGCGGCCCGGUAAGUCCGCUGUGAAAUCUCGAGGCUCAACUUCGAGCUGUCGGUGGAAACUGUCUGGCUAGAGUCCGGAAGAGGAGAAUGGAAUUCCUGGUGUAGCGGUGAAAUGCGCAGAUAUCAGGAAGAACACCCGUGGCGAAGGCGGCUCUCUGGGACGGUACUGACGCUGAGACGCGAAAGCGUGGGGAGCGAACAGG